RNAcentral lists this unclassified non-coding RNA (229 nucleotides) under plant metagenome. Its description in RNAcentral is "partial contains small subunit ribosomal RNA, internal transcribed spacer 1, and 5.8S ribosomal RNA". The record is from RNAcentral.
UCUCCGUAGGUGAACCUGCGGAGGGAUCAUUACAGAGUUCUCGCCCUCACGGGUAGAUCUCCCACCCACUGUUAUCGUUACUGUGUUGCUUUGGCGGGCCGCCGGGCCCCGCUCGGCCGCCGGCUCCGGCUGGCGCGCGCCCGCCAGAGGCCCAGCAAACUCUGAAUGUUAGUGUCGUCUGAGUACUAUAUAAUAGUUAAAACUUUCAACAACGGAUCUCUUGGUUCUG